This 285-nucleotide ribosomal RNA is filed under the name Triticum aestivum (bread wheat). RNAcentral's name for it is "partial small subunit ribosomal RNA". Lineage: Eukaryota; Viridiplantae; Streptophyta; Magnoliopsida; Poales; Poaceae. The record is from RNAcentral.
AUGCCAAGGAGUGCGGCUGGACCUGCUCGAGGUGGUGACCGCGCCACCACAAUCCUAGUGGACAAAAAUUCCGCUAUUAAGAUGUGCAAUAAUCCGGUUUUCCAUGACCGGAGCAAACACAUCGAGCUUCGUUUCCAUUUCAUCCGCGAGUGCAUCGACGAUUGGAAGAUCUACGUCGACCACAUCAGCACAGGCGAUAAGUUCAUGGACAUCCUCACCAAGCCGCUCGUACGGACCCGUUUCUUGAAGCUGCGACCACACAUCGGGAUGAUCAAUCUCAAGUAA